UCUGAAUCCCUGUCGGUGCCCAUCCAAUCCUACCGUUCUUCUACAUCUGCUAGCACCGCUUGUCCAGAGUCGCCGCGUUGUCCAACCAAGCCAGAGCCCAUAAUGACUUGUGGCUGUGCAGGUAAGCCUUGGGUCUUGAAAAUAUCCGUCCGUCUCUUUGAGCCUGGGUGAAGCUUUCCGCAAGAUGUCAUGGCCGUCUCCAGCAUCCCGGGUCAUCUACUGGUUUCUCUAGGGAGCCGAUCAACCGUCCUUCACCCAGAGUUGCAUUGCAUCACGUGGUCUUGAAAAUCUUGUCUUAACCGGUCUUGGUUAUUUAAUCAACCUCGCAUCACUCGUGUUAUGCACUCAACUGAAAUCCCGUCUACUCAAGCAUAGCAAUAUGAAAUUUGUCGUCCCGGGCCAAGUAUCGGGGUUGUUGGGUGCCUACCACAUGAUACUAUAAUAUGUAACCAAAAUUUCCAAGUACCUAGUCAGCAUGCAAUUGGGCAUAGGAUGGUAGAACUACGAUGCAUAAAACAUAGGUGAUACAUGAUCAAAUGACUUGCCUGGUAUUACUUGAUGAAGAUAGUCGCUCUCAAAAUCCUGAUAAUUCUACUCGCCACACUCCGAGCAAUCUAUCGUAAACGAAUAGCAUUAAAUAAACAUUCAUGCCAAAAAGGAAGAACCAAGAGAACAUAAGAACAAAGCAUGUCUUGGUGCAAAAUAACAACGUACUAAGGUUUAAUAAAAGGUCCUAAGUGUGUUGUAAAGUAAAGGUGCAUGAAUGAGAUCAAAAGAGUUAAAGGACGAUGAACUAUUGCUAUAUAAGUUUGACUUUCAUACACUAUGGGAGAUGAUCAAAAAUAUUGUGAGAACAACAUGAAUGUUCUUUGACAAAUAGUAUA
Molecule: long non-coding RNA, 884 nt
Filed under: Hordeum vulgare
Lineage: Eukaryota; Viridiplantae; Streptophyta; Magnoliopsida; Poales; Poaceae
Description: long non-coding RNA (HVUL_LNC012469)
Source: RNAcentral